UAUAAUAGCAGAGAGGAUACACCUGUUCCCAUUCCGAACACAGAAGUUAAGCUCUCUAGCGCUGAUGGUACUUGGUGGGAAACCGCCUGGGAGAGUAGGA
RNAcentral lists this ribosomal RNA (100 nucleotides) under Clostridioides difficile. Lineage: Bacteria; Bacillati; Bacillota; Clostridia; Peptostreptococcales; Peptostreptococcaceae. The record is from RNAcentral.